GUUAAAUAAUACUAACAGCUGCUGACAUUGCCUUUUGAGUUCUCUACUAAAAGCAACAAUGGCGGCUGCAACAGUGAGGGUAUCAGCAAACAACACUAUAACAGCUUCACUCAUAUCGAAAAGUCCUCUCCAAAAGCCCAGCAUUUUCAACCUUUGCUUCCGUAAUGGAGGUGCUGCUGCACAAAGGAGGCGACUUUUCAGUUGCAGUGCUAUUUACAAUCCCCAGAUUCAAAUCAAACAACACGGACAGCCUGAAACCUUAGAUUAUCGUGUAUUUUUUGCGGAAGAUUCCGGCAAAAAGGUAUCUCCUUGGCAUGAUAUACCACUUCAUUUAGGUGAUGGUGUUUUCAAUUUCAUUGCUGAAAUUCCCAAAGAAUCAAGUGCUAAGAUGGAAGUUGCUACGGAUGAGCAGUACACACCAAUUAAACAAGACACAAAGAAGGGGAAACUUAGAUACUAUCCAUAUAAUAUUCACUGGAACUAUGGAUUGCUUCCUCAAACCUGGGAAGACCCUUCAUUGGCAAAUGCUGAAGUUGAGGGGGCAUUUGGAGAUAAUGACCCUGUUGAUGUUGUCGAGAUUGGGGAAAGCCGUGCUAAAAUUGGCCAGGUCUUGAAGGUCAAACUUUAGCUGCUUUGGCAAUGAUUGAUGAAGGAGAACUUGACUGGAAAAUAGUUGCUAUAUCUCUAGAUGAUCCCCAAGCUUCACUUGUCAAUGAUAUUGAUGAUGUGGAGAAGCAUUUCCCGGGCACUCUGACAGCUAUCAGGAACUGGUUUAGAGACUAUAAGAUUCCUGAUGGGAAGCCUGCAAAUAAGUUUGGACUUGGGAACAAGCCAGCUAACAAGGAUUAUGCACUUAAGGUUAUUAUGGAAACCAACGAGUCUUGGGCAAAGCUUGUCAAGAGAUCCAUUCCUGCUGGUGAUCUUUCACUUAUAUAGCUGCCAAUUGACAAAGCUUGAACAGCUAGUUUUGUUGCUUGUUAACUGAACUGGUAGCAAUUCUUUCUCCGUCCUCAUGUCUGAUGUGUAAAUGAGUUCACAUUCUUUAAGUUUAUUCAGCACAAGAAGAUGCUACUUUUUCAUCCGUAUUUUCUGCAUGGAAAUGACUUUUAAAGCUAUGUAAGCGGAAAAAAGAUUUAAAUAUAUCUGAAUUGAUCUUUGUUCUUCAA
RNA transcript from Solanum verrucosum, 1166 nucleotides. It is a transcript of the gene named soluble inorganic pyrophosphatase 6, chloroplastic-like, with no coding region annotated. The transcript has 6 exons. The record is from RefSeq and is a predicted model, not a curated record. Lineage: Eukaryota; Viridiplantae; Streptophyta; Magnoliopsida; Solanales; Solanaceae.